GCCGACGUAUCCGAAUUGGUACAGGAGCACGCUUCAGGAGCGUGUGUCGUAAGACAUGAGGGUUCGACUCCCUCCGUCGGCACCG
This 85-nucleotide transfer RNA is filed under the name Chloroflexota bacterium. RNAcentral's name for it is "Chloroflexi bacterium tRNA-Leu". It matches the Rfam family "tRNA". Rfam says of the family: Transfer RNA (tRNA) molecules are approximately 80 nucleotides in length. Their secondary structure includes four short double-helical elements and three loops (D, anti-codon, and T loops). Lineage: Bacteria; Bacillati; Chloroflexota. The record is from RNAcentral.